Molecule: transfer RNA, 75 nt
Filed under: Actinomycetota bacterium
Lineage: Bacteria; Bacillati; Actinomycetota
Description: Actinobacteria bacterium (hot springs metagenome) tRNA-Glu
Rfam family: tRNA
About the family: Transfer RNA (tRNA) molecules are approximately 80 nucleotides in length. Their secondary structure includes four short double-helical elements and three loops (D, anti-codon, and T loops).
Source: RNAcentral
GCCCCAUCGUCUAGCGGCCUAGGACGCCGGCCUUUCAAGCCGGUAACACGGAUUCGAAUUCCGUUGGGGGCACCA